AAAUGACUGUCAUACAAAUGGUAUGGUGGAACUGGAACCCCAAAAUGAUGUUAUUGAAAUAAUGACUAAACAAAAUGAAAUAACAACACUUUUAAUUCAACAGCAAAGCCUCUUUUCCUUACCAAAGAGAGAAAUACCUCAUUUUGAUGGAGAUCCACUUCAAUAUUAUUCAUUCAUUAAAGCAUUUGAGAAUGCAGUUGAGUGCAAUACAAAAAAUAACAGUGAUCGUUUAUAUUUUUUGGAACAGUACACAAGAGGCCAUGCAAAGGAAUUGGUGAGAAGCUGUCAACAAAUGAACUCAGAUCGUGGUUAUUGGAAAGCAAAAUCACUGUUAAAGGAGCACUAUGGCGAUGAACAGAAGGUCGCAGCUGCAUAUCUGGACAAGGCACUUUCAUGGCCGUCGAUUAAAACAGAGGAAGUAAAAGCUCUUCAGAACUACAGUUUGUUCCUUAGGGGAUGCUGUAAUGCAAUGGAGGAGGUGCAGCAUCUGAGUGAUUUGGACAUGCCUUCUAAUAUGGUGAACAUUAUUAAAAAAUUGCCGUAUAAAUUUAGGGACAGAUGGAGAAGCCAUGUUUGUGACCUGCAAGAAAAGCAUAAGAGAAGAGCCAAAUUUAUGGAUAUUGCAGACUUUUUGGAGAGGCAAAUAAGAAUAUUAACUGAUCCUGUAUUCGAUAACAUUCAAGAUUCUUCGCUUUCUUUACCGACUAAAGGAAUGAGUAAACCCAAGUAUCAAGGCAGACCUGGAAAUAAAGGAACAAGCUUUGCCACCACCAUGCAAGUUGUGGAGAGUACACCUAAGCCUGCGGAAAUGGAAAUUAAAAAUAAUCAGGUUGGAAGGAACGUCUGUAUUUGUUGUGGAGGAAGACACAUGUUGGACGUAUGUGCACAGUUGGGAAAAAUGGCUCAUGAGAAGAAGAUAACCUUCUUAAAGGAAAAUGGCAUCUGUUUUGGCUGCUUGUGUAUAGGACACAUCAGUAAAGAUUGCCGUAAGAGGAUUUCCUGUUCUAAAUGCAGCUGGAAACAUCCCAUCAUACUGCACAAAGAAAGUACACCCUCUGAAAAGACCGACAGGAACAUGCAGCCGCAUGUGAGCACAUUGGUGUCAAGUGGUCUUACAGGGGCUGGAGAUCAGGACUGUAAACUGCCCAUUGUACCUGUCCAAGUAAAGUCAAAGAAAGGAAGCAAUAUCGUUACAACAUAUGCUUUUUGGGACCAAGGGAGCACAGCAGUUUUCUGCACUGAGAGUCUAAUGCGCAGACUACACCUUGAGGGAAGGAAAGGAAACAUCCUCCUCAGAACCAUGGGCCAGGAAAGAAUUGUGAGCAGCAACACUUUAUCAGGACUGGAGGUUGCCACUCUUUGUGGGGACGAAUUUCUGGAGCUGCCAAAAGUGUACACACAGGAGUCCAUGCCUGUACAUAAAGGAAAUAUUACAACACCAGGAGAUAUUGAAGGAUG
RNAcentral lists this long non-coding RNA (1458 nucleotides) under Oreochromis niloticus (Nile tilapia). Its description in RNAcentral is "lncRNA (ENSONIG00000029781.1)". Lineage: Eukaryota; Metazoa; Chordata; Actinopteri; Cichliformes; Cichlidae. The record is from RNAcentral.